GGGCCCGCACAAGCGGAGGAACAUGUGGUUUAAUUCGAUGAUACGCGAGGAACCUUACCCGGGCUCGAACGGCUAAUGAGUAUGGUGGAAACAUCAUAGCCAGCAAUGGCAUUAGUCGAGGUGCUGCAUGGUUGUCGUCAGCUCGUGCCGUGAGGUGUCGGCUUAAGUGCCAUAACGAGCGCAACCCUUAUCAUUAGUUACUAGCAGGUAGUGCUGAGGACUCUAGUGAGACUGCCACCGUAAGGUGUGAGGAAGGUGGGGAUGACGUCAAAUCAGCACGGCCCUUACGUCCGGGGCUACACACGUGUUACAAUGGGGGGGACAAAAGGUUGCUACUUGGCAACAAGAUGCUAAUCCCGAAACCCUCUCCCAGUUCGGAUCGAAGUCUGCAACCCGACUUCGUGAAGCUGGAUUCGCUAGUAAUCGCGCAUCAGCCAUGGCG
This 442-nucleotide ribosomal RNA is filed under the name uncultured Bacteroidota bacterium. RNAcentral's name for it is "bacterial SSU rRNA". It matches the Rfam family "Bacterial small subunit ribosomal RNA", at positions 917 to 1359 of the family's 1533-position model. Lineage: Bacteria; Pseudomonadati; Bacteroidota. The record is from RNAcentral.